AAGACGCUUCGUUUUCUAAGGUUCUGUUCUGGGAAUAUCUGGAUUAUAUAGGUAACUGACAGGUGUGUUGACAACCGUAUCGGCAAGUUUAAGAUUAACAAUCCGAUGAGACACGUAAUCUCUCGAGUGCGAUUGCCACGUUAUAUCGUUUCUGUCAACUCUAUGUUAAAAAAUGAACUGUGGAAGUAGUGUUUUUUCUGACAAUGGAGAAGAGAAGGCUAGAUUCAAGCGUACAUACGCAAGUGUGGUUAGUGAAGACGAUCAGUCAACUCCGUUGACAAAUUCCUGGUGGAGAAAACUCCAGGAAGAAAAUGAAGAAGAAACCAUUCAUCCAUUCUCGGAGACCCAGGGGCUGUGCGGCUCUCCUGCACUUAACUUGAAAUCGACUCUCAGCCCCUGGGUCUCCGAGGAUGCCAUUCAUCACGAGCCUCAGGUAGACGGAAGUUUAAAUAUUCGGAUUGAAAACGAUCGACUUAAGGCCGACCUCGAUCAAGCGCGGAGUCAGCUAGAAUCCCUCUAAGAAGAAAUAAUAAUAUCAGCUAAGUAAGACCAGCCUCAGAGUUAAAAUUGAGGAGAAGGUCGCCGCGAGGAUGUGUGGACAUCGAUCAAAUGUAAUCGCAGGUCAGGUCCACAGUCCUGAGGUGGGGCGAAUGCUCAGCGACAUCGCUGAGAAAAUUAAAAUUAACAGCAGCAGCCUACUGAAAGCGUUGGAAACAACACUGGGGAACAGUAACCCUCAGUUUUUGCAAUCUCAGAGUGCCAGACUGGACCCUGCUGUUUUUCAAAUUAUAGUCGAGGAUCCUGGACCAAGAAAAGCUCGGCAAACGUUACUUAGCAUUUCCAAGCUAAGAAAAACCGGCUUACUCUUGAUUACAAAUCACUGAUAAUGCUGCUUAAGCAAAACGGUGGUGAUGUCAAAAAAAUAUAUCAAUGAACUUUGCAAGCAAGGAUUGGGCACAGAGUGCUGUGUAUUCUGCAAAGUUAAUAAGAAAUGUGCCUGUUCUGAGAUUCCUUGUGGGGAAGCCUGUGCUGAGUGUUUCCUGAAGAACAAAGCAAAUAUUGGUGGGUAGGUAUAACUCUGCAUUUCUGUAUUGACAUGCACAACAAAGUCCAGCUUGCAGUAUGGUAUUUCACUUUCUCUUGGAAUACAUGUCUUUAAAUCUCUUUUGGGAUACUUAGUUUGACGGACAGUUACCAGCAAAAAUAUGGCAGGUUUGAAUUAUAAAGGUGGAAACUAAAUUCA
This is a long non-coding RNA of Stylophora pistillata, 1243 nucleotides long. The record is from RefSeq and is a predicted model, not a curated record. Lineage: Eukaryota; Metazoa; Cnidaria; Anthozoa; Scleractinia; Pocilloporidae.